RNAcentral lists this long non-coding RNA (4816 nucleotides) under Homo sapiens (human). RNAcentral describes it as "HSALNT0363567". The record is from RNAcentral. Lineage: Eukaryota; Metazoa; Chordata; Mammalia; Primates; Hominidae.
UCCAAUACAUUGUGGCUGAAUCCACUUCAAGUUGGGGUUUUUUUGGGGGUUUUUUUUGGUUGGGUUUUUUUUUUUUUUUUUGCCUCUCACAAAGGAGAAUCCCAGAUACCUAGAGGCCAGAGGUCCAGGGCGAUGGGUGGGCUGUGUCGGGGCCCGGCCCAGCCUGGCCUUCCGACAGCAUCCAGGCAGGCCCUCUUUCCCUCCACCGUCUUGGAUGGGCUUAAUUUAUUGUAGGAAACCCUUGAAGGCGCAGGAGCUUUUGGAGAGCCGGGGACAAUAGGCAUAAAGCAUGCAUUUAAGCCGUCUGAAUGGAGGCUAGAUUUACUGUCUGGGCCAGACGGGAUUUUUGUCCCCAAGUCAUCUCGGAGUACAUUGGCCACUAAAGAUCUCAACAGAAGACGAAGACGGAACAAAAGAAGUAAAUUUUAAAAGGAACUUUGUCAAGGAGUUUUAGAUGUUCACCAGAUAGAAAACCGCGGCUGCCCUCACCGAAAUGACUUUUGGAUUUGCCCAGUGGUUAUGGAUCAGAGGAAGAUGCUAAUGAAGUCGUUUAAAUGCACGUUUGAUGGACCCCAGAGAAUGGGACCAAUUUCAUACAAGCCCACAGCAAGGUUAAGGAAUGAAAGAAGGUGGCCGUUAGAGUUGCUGCCGGGGACAAGGCUCCAUUGUCGGGGCUGCCUUUUUCAGCCGUGAAGCGUGAAGCGUGUUUUGAACUACAGUGUUUACCAACGUGUACAUCCUAGUCUGGCCGACCGGGCCUGCAGAAUUUAUGACCAGGAACAAACCUCUUAGAGGGGAAAAGAAAACAGCUCUUACCAGCUGGGAAAGGAGCUCAGAUCAUGCCCUGGAGAAGCAGGUGACAUCGCGGAAUUUUCCUGUUCCAGAUGCCAGAAGUCUGAAAUGAAGGUGUAAAGCAGGGUGGUUCCUUCUGGAGGCUCUGAGAGAAUCACCCCAGGCCUCUCUCCAGCUUCUGGUGCUGGUAUUCUCAGGCUUGUAGGCGCAUCACCCAUGUCUGCCUCCAUCUUCACAUGGCCUUCUCCUCUGUGUCUGCCUGAAGUCUCCCUUCAUUUCUCUUGUAAGGACAUCAGUCAUUGGAUUUAGAGCCCACCCUAAACCCAGAAUGAUCUCAUCUCAAGAUUACAUCUGCACAGACGCUAUUUCCAGAUAAGGUCACAGUCAAAGGUACCAGGGGUUAGGAUAUGAACAUAUCUUUUUGAAAGACACGAUUUAACCUACAGCAGGUGCUCAGGGCAGUUGGGUGGGGGCCUGUGCUAGGGGCCCAACAGCCAAGGCUUAAAGCCGCACUCCACACCUAGGCCUGUGACACCUCCCACAAGCUUCUUCACCUCUCAAGCCUCAACUUCUACUUCUGCAAACAGGGAACAAUAAAAGUAUCUCCCUGCCCCCACCUUGCAGGGUUUCCAGUUCCAAUGUCUACACACUCACCUGGGAGUUAUCUGAAAUUGUUGUUCACCUGCUUAAACCUUUUGAGUUUCCAGCACCCCCCAGAAGUCCCCACCCUCUAGUCCCUUAGCAAGAUACUGGCCCUGCGUGAGCUUCCCACCUUCCUUGACAGCUGCAUCUCUCAUCAUUAGGACCUGGGCAACACUGCAGAAUAUGGCAGGUCUUCCCUCAUCUCUGUGCUUUGCCUCCAUUCCCUGACUUCUCUCCCAUCCUCCUCCUGUCACCUGGCCUCUCCCCAUCCUACUGGCCUUAAAGCUCAGCUCCUGAAGCCUCCCUGAUGCUCCUCCCUUCAUAGCCCCUCCCAGCCUGGCCACGUGGGCUCGGGCAGCCCAGAGCCUGGGCCUCCUGGUCACACUCUGAGCACACAGCCCAUUUUCUCUCCAGUGCUGGCUUGUGUUUGACACCAUGCCUGACACAUUGGGGGUGCUCAGUAGACCUGUGUGAGAUGGACAGCCUCCCGUACAGAUGGACGGACAGAUGUACAGGUAGGUGAAUGAACUUUCGUUGCCCCUAAAGCAGGAGAGACUCUGAGUUUCUGAGACAACGGCCAAGAACUUUCUGAUAAGAUCUCUGCAUUUAAGGUUCAGAAAAACUCGAUGAGGACAAUAUUUUUCUCCCGAUUUUGCAGAUAAGAAAAUAGAGGCAUAGAGAAGUCACUUGCUAGUAAAUGUUAGAGGCAGCUUUCUAACCCAGGUCCAUGUGAACCCAGAAAAAGAGGCAGUGAGCACCUGUUCACCCAGGAGCAGCUCUCAGAAGAUAAGAUAAUACGAGGAGGAGGCAGCAGACCCCUAUGCCACGCGUCCACCUGGGGCUGUCCAUCACUUCCUGCAAGAUCUUGCUGGUAGCCAGAUUCUCAGAGACCCCCAGUGAGCCCCGCCUCCUGGUUUUCACACCCUGUGUAGUUUCCUUUCCCCAGGGAUGGUCCAAGUGACCAGCAGCCCGUGGCAGAAGUGAUGGAAUAGCACUUCCAAGCUUAGGUUAUGAAAGAUUGCAGCUUCAAUCUCCUGCCCCACACCCCGUCUCUCUCUCUAACCCCACUCCCUCCCUCCCUCUCUCAUCUCUGACUCUGGGGGAAGCACACUGCAGCCCCGUGGAGAUGCCCUGUGUAAGCCACUGAAGCCUCUGGCCAACAGCAGUGGGAACCUGAGACGUGUCCACAAGCAUGCAUGGGAGCUUGGAAGUGGAUCCUUCAGCCCCAGCCAAGCCUUCAGACGAUGCAGCCUCAGGGACAGUAUGACUGCAGCCUCAUGAGACCCUGAGCCAGAAACACCCCUCCAAGCCACUCCCAGAUGCCUGGCCCUCAGAACCUGGGAGGUAAUAAAUAUUUAUGGCUGUUUGAAGCUGCUGUAUCGGGGGACAAUUUGUUACACAGUAAUAGCUAACUGGUGCAGUCCUGGGACUCUUAGCAGUUUGGAGUAUCAGUUAUUUUGCCAAGGCGGGGAAGUUAACAGUGGUCAUUGCAGCAGCUGCACUUGGGGACCACAAUAAAGAAGCUUUCUCAGACUGGUUUGAACAAAGUGGUGAAUUCUCUGCAAGGACACAGAGGUGUCUCUCAAAACCCAAGGAUGGGACAGCAGGCCUCAAGAAGAACUGGAACCUCUGUCCCUUCUGUGCUUCUUUUUACUCCUGUGUUCUCUGCUUCUUGGAGCACUUGGCAGUUGGGAAGUGGCCAUUUCAAUUCUCGUGGUCAAGAAACCAGCUCAGAAAUAACCCAACCAACACAGGUGGGGUCAGGUGUCCAUCCUGGCUCCAUUUGUCAUGGCGGGAGAUGGUGAUGAAGAGAAACAUCCAGGACCAUUGGUAGGGCACCCGAAUGAGAUUCCAGGAGAGGCCAGUUCUAAGAGAAGGGUACUAGAAAGAUACCCAUUGAAGUCAAUACCACAUGUGGCACAUCCUCCUUUCAGGUGGCAAGUGUGUAGCCAAAGCAAGGUUCAGGGUCCAUAUUUGAAAGUCAGAAACUGAAUAAACUGUUUUCUCCCACCCCGAGCACUGUGGGGAACUCUGCUCACAAAUCCACCAUCCACCAUCACCAGCCGUGCUCAUCUGACCAUUCAUGCAGGCUCACACUUGACCUGAUGUGGGUUCUGUCUCCUUUGCUUGAGAAUUGAAAGGCCUGGGAGAUGCAAAAGCUUUAGGCUCCAGCCAUCUCCCCAUGUCAGGUAGGCCUUUUGCCUAGUGUAUCCAGUUGGUAAUGCUGCAGAGAUGCAUGAAGCUGGAGUCAGAGGCCACCUGUAGUGCUGCCCUGACUUCAGACCUGAGCCCAGCCCAGCAGCAGAGAGGGGGCUGGGAGCCAGAGGAGGCCUCACAGUAACAGCACAGACAGGUGGGGGCCCACAACAGGCCACAUGUGUUCAAACUCGAGUGUGGGCAGAGGAGCAUGGGAAGCUCAGAGCCCUGAGCUCACCCCACACCCAACACGAGUGGGGUCACCCAAAAUCAGCCUGUCAGCACUGUCCCAGCAGCCAGUCGCAUGCUACAUUAACAAAUUUUGCACAGGCCAGCAAGCAGGAUCGCUCACCAGCCACCCUCCUGAACUGGCCUAUGGGGCCCCAGGAUGAUGCCAUAGCCACAAGUCUGGAGUUCCUCAAAGUACCUGGUCAGCACAACUCAGUUAAACAAUGGGCAAAAGACCUGAACAGACACUUCGCCAGAGAAGAUGUACAGAUGCAAGUAAGCAUUUGAAAAGGUGCCCCACAUCGUAUGUCGUUAGGGAAUGGUCCAAUCCAGAACACUGAUGGCACCAAAGGCUGCUGAGCAUGUGGAGCAGCAGAACUCUCAUUCACUGCUGGUGAGAAAAAUGGCGCAGCCCCAAUAGGGAACCCUAAUGCAGACUCUGGACUUCACUGGAAAUGACGUGUCAGUGUAGCUGCGUCAGUUGUAACAAAUGCACCAGUCUGGUGGGCGUGUUGAUAACCGGGGCUGCGCACGUGGGGAGAGAGGACCUGUGGGAAUGCUCUACUUUCCACUCAUUUUUGCUGUGAACUUAAAACUGCUCUUACAAAAUAACAUUGUUUGUUGUUGUUGUUGUUGUUGUUGUUGUUGUUGUUUUUAAGUAUCUAGUCAGCUCCACACAUGACCCGGGCAGAGUGGGAAGUUGUAGAGUGCCCCAAGGAGAGAAAUGGAACCAGGUCUCAUGUGGGGCCAAGUGUGGGCUCCCUGUCCUCUCAGCUGGUCCCAGGAACUGAAGGGAAAUUUAGACAACUUGGAGAAAGACACUCUAGGGCUCGGGGCAAAGGGUGGUGUUGAUGAGAACCAUAUUUUUUUAUUGCUGGUGUAAGCACUUGUAUUUUUCUGAUUUUCCACUGGUUCGAUAAUAAGGGUAAAAGACAAUAAAGCAUACUUUUUAAGCUUU